GAUGAACGCUAGCUACAGGCUUAACACAUGCAAGUCGAGGGGAAACGACAUCGAAAGCUUGCUUUUGAUGGGCGUCGACCGGCGCACGGGUGAGUAACGCGUAUCCAACCUGCCCACCACUUGGGGAUAACCUUGCGAAAGUAAGACUAAUACCCAAUGAUAUCCCACGAAGGCAUCCGAAUGGGAUUAAAGAUUUAUCGGUGAUGGAUGGGGAUGCGUCUGAUUAGCUUGUUGGCGGGUAACGGCCCACCAAGGCUACGAUCAGUAGGGGUUCUGAGAGGAAGGUCCCCCACAUUGGAACUGAGACACGGUCCAAACUCCUACGGGAGGCAGCAGUGAGGAAUAUUGGUCAAUGGGCGAGAGCCUGAACCCAGCCAAGUAGCGUGCAGGACGACGGCCCUAU
This 403-nucleotide ribosomal RNA is filed under the name uncultured bacterium. Its description in RNAcentral is "bacterial SSU rRNA". It matches the Rfam family "Bacterial small subunit ribosomal RNA", at positions 28 to 420 of the family's 1533-position model. The record is from RNAcentral.